UAGUUAAUAGCUGCAUUAUUUGACGUUAGCGACAGAAGAAGCACCGGCUAACUCCGUGCCAGCAGCCGCGAAAUACGGAGGUGCGAGCGUUAAUCGGAAUUACUGGGCGUAAAGCGCAUGCGGUUGGUUUGUUAAGUCAGAUGUGAAAGCCCGGGGCUCAACCUCGGAAUAGCAUUUGAAACUGGCAGACUAGAGUACUGUAGAGGGGGGUAGAAUUUCAGGUGUAGCGGUGAAAUGCGUAGAGAUCUGAAGAAAUACCGGUGGCGAAGGCGGCCCCCUGGACAGAUACUGACACUCAGAUGCGAAAGCGUGGGGAGCAAACAGGAUUAGAUACC
RNAcentral lists this ribosomal RNA (335 nucleotides) under Vibrio alginolyticus. RNAcentral's name for it is "bacterial SSU rRNA". It matches the Rfam family "Bacterial small subunit ribosomal RNA", at positions 450 to 786 of the family's 1533-position model. Lineage: Bacteria; Pseudomonadati; Pseudomonadota; Gammaproteobacteria; Vibrionales; Vibrionaceae. The record is from RNAcentral.